Molecule: ribosomal RNA, 192 nt
Filed under: Triticum aestivum (bread wheat)
Lineage: Eukaryota; Viridiplantae; Streptophyta; Magnoliopsida; Poales; Poaceae
Description: partial small subunit ribosomal RNA
Source: RNAcentral
AUGGCUCUACGGAAGGGACUCAACUCCAUCAUCGCUCUCACCGCAUGGGCCAUCUGGAAGCACCAGAAUGGAUGUGUGUUUGACCAGCGACAACCCUCGAUCACAAGUCUAUUUCAAUCCAUUCAAGAAGACGCUCGCCUGUGGGCUAGCGCCGGCGCCAACGGCUUGGCAACCCUCAUACCUGAGAUAUAG